AAACCUCACAAUAGAGGUAACUACUGCCAGAACAGCACUGGAGGAGGGUUGAACCACAGCUCAAUAACAGGAAGGACUAUGAGCCUCAGACAAAGUCCCGAAGCAAUUAUUCAUCUCUUAUUAAAACUCAAAACCUUCCAGCAUUUAAGAAUACCAUCAGGAGUGGGUGAUGUAAAGACUCAGUUUGAUUACAAUAAAAAUUUUGA
Chiloscyllium plagiosum (whitespotted bambooshark) is the source of this 206-nucleotide non-coding RNA. Lineage: Eukaryota; Metazoa; Chordata; Chondrichthyes; Orectolobiformes; Hemiscylliidae. The record is from RefSeq and is a predicted model, not a curated record.